UACGUAGGGGGCAAGCGUUGUCCGGAAUCAUUGGGCGUAAAGCGCGUGUAGGCGGUUCGGUAAGUCCGCUGUGAAAGUCGGGGGCUCAACCCUCGAAAGCCGGUGGAUACUGUCGGGCUAGAGUACGGAAGAGGCGAGUGGAAUUCCUGGUGUAGCGGUGAAAUGCGCAGAUAUCAGGAGGAACACCAAUUGCGAAGGCAGCUCGCUGGGACGUUACUGACACUAAGGCGCGAAAGCGUGGGGAGCGAACAGG
RNAcentral lists this ribosomal RNA (253 nucleotides) under uncultured bacterium. RNAcentral describes it as "partial 16S ribosomal RNA". It matches the Rfam family "Bacterial small subunit ribosomal RNA", at positions 524 to 776 of the family's 1533-position model. The record is from RNAcentral.